This 351-nucleotide long non-coding RNA is filed under the name Nicotiana tabacum (common tobacco). RNAcentral describes it as "long non-coding RNA (NTAB_LNC018806)". Lineage: Eukaryota; Viridiplantae; Streptophyta; Magnoliopsida; Solanales; Solanaceae. The record is from RNAcentral.
CAUUUCUAAGACAAGACAGUAAACAACAUGACAUUAAAAGGUAAGCUUUGAUACAGAGCAGAAUACAUGACGAACUUCGUUGCUUACGACUUGUGCUAAACACUCGGCACAACAUCCGCAAGACUAACACUAUUUACAUAAUUAAGCACACCCCACACACACUGUCACAGGACCACACAGAACAUUCUCAACCAGGAAAAUGUCAAGGAUGUCGACUAAAUACAGCCGCCUCAAGAGGGGUAACAAAAAAAGAAAACCCGAUCUAUAUCUUACAGGUCGUAAGGAGGACGAGGACUUCUGGGUCCAACCCCACUAGCAUUCUCGUAUGCAAAUGAUCGCCUACGGGACCAA